Salmo salar (Atlantic salmon) is the source of this 88-nucleotide non-coding RNA. The record is from Rfam. Lineage: Eukaryota; Metazoa; Chordata; Actinopteri; Salmoniformes; Salmonidae.
CCCUGUGGCUCAGUUGGUAGAGCAUGGUGUUUGCAACGCCAGCAUUGUGUGUGCAACGCCAGGGUUGUGGGUUCGAUUCCCACAGGGG